AUGAUCAACAAGAGGAUAUUCACGGUCCGAUGGAAUAAACACCCCAAAACUGUUUGGCUCGAGCAUGCAUGUCAGAAGGAAGCAGAUCGGGUGGACGCAAAGGCCCGCCUCGUCUUGUCAAGAUCCGUGCCGCUCGACAGCCUCCUCGUCGCCGGCGCACCGCCCUUGACCGCGGCGUCCCCCGUCUCCACGUCUACGCGCACCUCGGCCUCGGCGUCGUCGUCCGGCGCCUGGACGUCCGCGCGGCACAGCGGGCACGUGGAGUUCCCGCGGAACCACGCAUCGAUGCACCCCACGUGGAACCGGUGGCCGCACCGCGGCAGCGCGCGCGCCUCCUCCCGGCGCUCGAGCCCCGACGCCGUCCCCGGCGUCGUCGAGGACUUGUCAAAGAAACUCCCAGUUCACUCGAUCGUUCGCCUUCUCAAAGUCUAA
RNAcentral lists this ribosomal RNA (432 nucleotides) under Triticum aestivum (bread wheat). Its description in RNAcentral is "partial small subunit ribosomal RNA". The record is from RNAcentral. Lineage: Eukaryota; Viridiplantae; Streptophyta; Magnoliopsida; Poales; Poaceae.